AAGCCCCGGCACCCUUCUUGGGUGCGUCUCCAAAUUUGCACUUUGG
This 46-nucleotide transfer RNA is filed under the name Luperosaurus cumingii. RNAcentral's name for it is "partial tRNA-Cys". The record is from RNAcentral. Lineage: Eukaryota; Metazoa; Chordata; Lepidosauria; Squamata; Gekkonidae.